UACGUAGGGGGCAAGCGUUGUCCGGAUUUAUUGGGCGUAAAGGGCGCGUAGGCGGCGCGGUAAGUCACUUGUGAAAUCUCUGAGCUUAACUCAGAACGGCCAAGUGAUACUGCAGUGCUAGAGUGUGGAAGGGGCAAUCGGAAUUCUUGGUGUAGCGGUGAAAUGCGUAGAUAUCAAGAGGAACACCUGAGGUGAAGACGGGUUGCUGGGCCAACACUGACGCUGAGGCGCGAAAGCCAGGGGAGCAAACGGG
Molecule: ribosomal RNA, 253 nt
Filed under: uncultured bacterium
Lineage: Bacteria
Description: partial 16S ribosomal RNA
Rfam family: Bacterial small subunit ribosomal RNA
Source: RNAcentral